This 363-nucleotide unclassified non-coding RNA is filed under the name Hevea brasiliensis (rubber tree). Lineage: Eukaryota; Viridiplantae; Streptophyta; Magnoliopsida; Malpighiales; Euphorbiaceae. The record is from RNAcentral.
GUGAAAUUUAUAAAAUAAAAUUUGAGAAAUGGCUAAAUGAUUAUGUAUAAUAUUAUAAUAACUGAUUAAAAUGCCACUAAAAAACAGAGUCAAAAAACAAUAUAUAUAAAUAUAUAUAUAUAUUAAACCAAAACUUAGCUUUAAACCAAAACCCAUCACAAAUCAAGUAAUAUGAGAUGUACAGUGGCCACCACAACCCAGAAUAGAAGGCAUGCAUUGCCAAUCAUCCAACAUGCUUAUGACAUAAUUUCAUACAAACAGUUCUAAAUUCUCUUAAAUCCUUCAAUUAAUUCUGCCUAUAAAAAACCCUCCACUUGAUGGAAUAUAUUUACUUAACUCACCUGUGAUACUAGGCUGGCGAGU